This 3458-nucleotide long non-coding RNA is filed under the name Sus scrofa (pig). Its description in RNAcentral is "lncRNA (ENSSSCG00050061403.1)". The stretch from base 3127 to 3198 matches the Rfam family "Small nucleolar RNA SNORD113/SNORD114 family". Lineage: Eukaryota; Metazoa; Chordata; Mammalia; Artiodactyla; Suidae. The record is from RNAcentral.
GGACCAAUGAUGAUUACUGGUGGUUUGAAUCAUGGAUGAUAAAUAACAUGUGUCAGAAACUCUGAGGUCCAGCAAAAAAAAAUCUAAGUCAGUCUCUCUGUAGGGAUCCUGUAGGUAGAAGUCAGGGAUAUACAAAGAUCUUGUUUAUUUCUUGUGUUCUUUCAUGAAUUUUCACUUCAUUAUUAUAGUCGGAGCAGGGAAAUAAAUAAUCAAAUAAGUAAAUAAAAGAAAUGGAGUGUGUGAAUAUCUCAUAUAAAAAUUUGUAUUCACACAAGAAAUGCUGUAAAAAUUGAGAAAACACUUAAAACCAAAGAGAAAGAAAGAGUACAUGACUUAAAUCUUUGGCUAAUUUAAUACAGACAAUAGUAAGUAAUAGUCGUGGCUCACCUUCUGUGUCAGGGAUAAGUUUUAAGUUCAUUUUCUUAAGAGAAAAUGAAGCAUACUCCAAAUAAAAGAUUGUCUAAAUCACUGAAAAGUGAAAUGCGCAAGUAAGGACCAAUGACAAUUAGGUCUCGAUUCGUGGACAUCGCCUCUGCCCUGUACGUCACGGAAUGGGCGCCUUGAGAUGAUUUAAGUUUCCUCCAAGAUCAAGAGCCCUCUGGUUGCAUCUUUGUGUUAGAAUCAUGGAGAACAAUGGAAUCGUCAGUGUCCUUGUGUGGGACGGAGCCAUGUUUUUAGAUAAGGUAUUACUGUAUUAUUAAAAAUAUUAAGUAUAAUCAAAGAAGUCCAAACACACCACUGUCAGUGACCAUGGAUGGAAAAGAAUGUGAUGCUAUAUCCGUAUAUGAUACACUGAAUUCAGUUAAUGAAAGGGCUGGGUCUCCGCGGAGGUGACUUUAUAGACUGAUGUUAGGAUUAUUCAAAGGACUUACAGUUUUUUUGUGAUUGAUGUUUAUUUAAGUAAUUGUGAAUUAAUCAAAACAAAAAUGUCCAUGAACGAGAAAAGAGCCAGUGUGCUUCUGUGGGAAAUGAUGCCCAAGAUCAAAGUUAGGAAGAGACAAACGUCAGAUUCCCAUUUGGAGUUUAUAAAUGUAAAUGUAUAAUUAAUAAUACAUAGAAGAACAAUAGUAAAAUAAAACAACCAUAUAAAAGAAGCUGAAGGAUUGUCGUAUGAAACAUGUGGUAGGACAAGAAACACUAUUUUUUUUUUCUUUUUUUGGCUUUUGCCAUUUCUUGGGAUGCUCCCGCAGCAUAUGAAUGUUCCCAGGCUAGGGGUCUGACUGGAGCUGUAGCUGCUGGCCUACGCCAGAGUCCACAGCAAUGCAGGAUCUGAGCCCCGUCCGCAAGCUACACCAUAGCUCAGGGCAACGCAGAUCCUUAACCCACUGAGCAAGGCCAGGGAUCGAACCCGCAACCUCAUGGUUCCUAGUCGGAUUCGUUAACCACUGAGCCACGACGGGAACUCCAAGAAGUACUAUUAAUAAAACUGUAAAUGUUUGUUAUAAUUAAGCAGUAAAUGAGUAGGCAUUUUGCAUGUUCGUGGAAAGGAUCCUACAGAUACUGACGAAUGAGAGUCAACAUUUUUGUGUGGUAUCAGUCUCUUUUAAAGGGUUUGUGUAUAAGAGGAAAACUACCAUAUUAACAAACUAUUAUGUUUAGAAUGGAUAAGCAGAGAGGUCCUGCUGUACAGCACAGUGAACAGUAUCCCAACUCUCGAGGUAGAAAAUGAUGGAAGACCGUAGGAAAAAAUAAUGUGUAUCAGUAUAUGACUAUGCUGCACAGCAGAAAUGGGCACAGCAAUGUAAAUCAACUAUACGUAAAAAUUGUUAUGAAAAUAAAAAUUUAAUGAGUGCAUAAAAAAGGAAACGUCCAUUAAAAGAAAUACGGAGAUUAAGUGAGAAUUUCUUAAAUUAUUUCAUAUGAAAAUUUAAAAACUUGCCUUGGGGUGCCUGGGAAAGGGAAUUCCAUGUUUAAAAAAAUAGAAAAGGAAACGAAAGGGAGAGGGAGUAAAGGCAAGACCAAAUUGCACAGUCCAUGGUGACAGGUAUCAUGAGACGCUUCCCAUCCCACGGACCCCUGGAAGUUCAGGUAGGGUAUUGAUAUCUUACCCAGCCCUUUAAUAAAUUGAUCAACAAAGAAGGUCAAGCUAAGGGAACACAGGAGGGACAGUAUAGGAUUGAAGAUGACUCCUGGUGGCAUAUGCGUCCUGUACGAUGAAAACCUGUCUGAAACUCCGAGGUCCACUGAAGGAGGAAUCUGGUUCAAUGUCCACAAAGCAGUGACCCAAUAGGCCGAGGUCAGGAAACGACGAGGGUGACUGACAGAGCACGGGCAUUCCAGCGUUUUCCUGGUGUUAGCCCAAUGGGAAAAUGUGAGCACCCGUCCGGCAGUAUCAGAGAACUGAAUCUAGAGAGAAAGGGAGUGAAGGCAUUUGCCAGGUCCUUGGUGACCCCCAUGGUAUGCCGCAUGCCAGGCUAUGGCCAGGUGUGUGUGUGGAAGCCGCGAGCCUGGAGAAUGGCUGUGCCAUUGGGUCUCCUGCUCUUGGCUUUGUACUCCUCAGUGUGCAGCCGCCGGACCCGAAGGCAGGCUCCUUCCUGGAUGAGCAGGCGAGGAUGGCAGCGUUGUCUCUGGAUCCAGAAGGCCAGUGGUGGAAGCCGAAGGCCAGGCCAGGCUCCAUGGGGCUGAGACCCCUCCUCUGGCGGUGGUGGCAGGAGAGAUCCCAAGGGGCUGGAGACCUUCAGGGGCCAGGGACCUCCGUCGUCAAUGUUUGGGUCCCGGCCGGGAUGGACUUGGGUGAUGGAGAAGCCUGGUCCAGUGACUCUUCAGUGGGAAGACCGGGGCGCAGGGAAGAAGGUGUCACGAGACCGGCCUGGUGGAUGCAGCUUCGCGUCUGUGUGGUGGGGUGCACACCAGACCCCGGCGAGCCGAUUGGGCCCGUUUCCCUGGUGAGACCCCUAGACGAUUCCUUCAGUGGGGGAGAUGGCCAAGGAAGCAGUGUGGGUAAGAGUCCGGUCUGUGCCUUUGGGUUGGGCGAGUUGGGCGCUGUGUGGGUGUCGGGAAGGUCUUCUGGGAAGGAGCCGGCGUUGAGGUUGUGAAGGGUCCAGAGGGUGUGGACGUCUUGGCGGCACUUUGGUGAAUGGGUCGACCCAGAGGGUGGCCCUCAGGGAAGACGGAGGGGGGCAGUAUUGGAUCGAUGAUGACUACUGGUGGCGUAUGAGUCGUGUACGAUGAAUACGUGUCUGGAACGCUGAGGUCCAAUGUCCUCCGUGCCGUGACCCUCGCGGGCGAGGCCAGGCAUCCAGGGGGGCCGUCCGUGUGUCCUCUGGGGGGCCUUCCUGGUGCUUGCGUUCGCCCAGUGGGCCAGUGGGAGCCCCUGUGGACCAGCCUGCCAGAACUGAAGGAGGAGAGCGAGGGAGGGCCGGCAUUCCCAAGGCGCCAGGUCCCUGGUGACCCCACCCCCCAUGGUCUGCCUCUUGCCAUGCCAUGGGCUGCAGGUUGGCCAGAGGUCUUGGGCUGAU